Molecule: ribosomal RNA, 497 nt
Filed under: uncultured bacterium
Lineage: Bacteria
Description: partial 16S ribosomal RNA
Rfam family: Bacterial small subunit ribosomal RNA
Source: RNAcentral
GAUGAACGCUGGCGGCGUGCCUAAUACAUGCAAGUCGAGCGAAAAGACGAGGCUCUUGCUCCUCUGACGUUAGCGGCGGACGGGUGAGUAACACGUGGUUAACCUACCUCUAAGACUUAGAUAAGUUCAGGAAACCGGAGUUAAGACCGGAUAAUAUAUUGAAGCGCAUGGGUCAAUAGUGAAAGACGGUUUUGCUGUAACUUAUAGAUUGAUCCGCGCCGCAUUAGCUAGUUGGUAAGGUAACGGCUUACCAAGGCAACGAUGGGCAGGCGAGGUGGGAGGCUGAUAGCCGACACGGGAGGUGAGACACGGUCCAUGGUCCUACGGGACGCAGCAGUCGGGUAUGUUCCGCAGCGGUGGGAAGUAUUGCAGAGUAAGGGGACGUCUGAUACAAAGGUGUCGGGUGCGUGAUGACCUCUUAUGAGUUAUAAACAAAUGUCUACGGAACUAUGCACGUCUUGACGGUACCUGAACAGAAAGCACCGGCUAACUACGUG